This 253-nucleotide ribosomal RNA is filed under the name uncultured bacterium. Its description in RNAcentral is "partial 16S ribosomal RNA". It matches the Rfam family "Bacterial small subunit ribosomal RNA", at positions 524 to 776 of the family's 1533-position model. The record is from RNAcentral.
UACGAAGGGGGCUAGCGUUGCUCGGAAUCACUGGGCGUAAAGGGUGCGUAGGCGGGUCUUUAAGUCAGGGGUGAAAUCCUGGAGCUCAACUCCAGAACUGCCUUUGAUACUGAGGAUCUUGAGUUCGGGAGAGGUGAGUGGAACUGCGAGUGUAGAGGUGAAAUUCGUAGAUAUCAGGAAGAACACCAAUGGCGAAGGCAGCUCUCUGGGACGGUACUGACGCUGAGACGCGAAAGCGUGGGGAGCGAACAGG